GUGUCGGUAACCCGUAAUUGGUAGCGGUCCUGACUGUAAAUCAGGUGUCUUCGGAUUCUGGGGGUUCAAGUCCCUCCCGGCGCAC
RNAcentral lists this transfer RNA (85 nucleotides) under Streptomyces phage BillNye. RNAcentral describes it as "tRNA-Tyr". It matches the Rfam family "tRNA". From Rfam's summary of the family: Transfer RNA (tRNA) molecules are approximately 80 nucleotides in length. Their secondary structure includes four short double-helical elements and three loops (D, anti-codon, and T loops). Lineage: Duplodnaviria; Heunggongvirae; Uroviricota; Caudoviricetes; Stanwilliamsviridae. The record is from RNAcentral. RNAcentral also lists the same sequence under 1 other name.